This 23-nucleotide microRNA is filed under the name Glycine max (soybean). RNAcentral's name for it is "gma-miR1532". Lineage: Eukaryota; Viridiplantae; Streptophyta; Magnoliopsida; Fabales; Fabaceae. The record is from miRBase by way of RNAcentral.
AACACGCUAAGCGAGAGGAGCUC